AGGGAAUAGGACCUCGGUUCUAUUUUGUUGGUUUUCGGAAUCUGAGGUAAUGAUCAAUGGGGACAGGCGGGGGCAUUCGUAUUGCGACGUUAGAGGUGAAAUUCUUGGAUCGUCGCAAGACGGACCGAAGCGAAAGCAUUUGCCAAGUAUGUUCUCGUCGAUCAAGAACGAAAGUUAGAGGUUCGAAGGCGAUCAGAUACCGCCCUAGUUCUAACCAUAAACUAUGCCUGCCAGCGAUCCGCCGAAGUUCCUCCGAUGACUCGGCGGGCAGCUUCCGGGAAACCAGAGCUUUUGGGUUCCGGGGGAAGUAUGGUUGCAAAGCUGAAACUUAAAGGAAUUGACGGAAGGGCACCACCAGGAGUGGAGCCUGCGGCUUAAUUUGACUCAACACGGGAAAACUCACCAGGCCCGGACACCGGAAGGAUUGACAGAUUGAGAGCUCUUUCUUGAUUCGGUGGGUGGUGGUGCAUGGCCGUUCUUAGUUGGUGGAGCGAUUUGUCUGGUUAAUUCCGAUAACGAACGAGACUCUAGCCUACUAACUAGGCGUACCCGGUAUCCACAAUCGUGCUACCGGCGAUCAAAUUUCUUCUUAGAGGGACAGGCGGCUUCUAGCCGCACGAGACUGAGCAAUAACAGGUCUGUGAUGCCCUUAGAUGUCCUGGGCCGCACGCGCGCUACACUGAAGGAAUCAGCGUGUCUUCCCUGUCCGAAAGGACCGGGUAAUCCGCUGAACCUCCUUUGUGCUAGGGAUUGGGGCUUGCAAUUGUUCCCCAUGAACGAGGAAUUCCCAGUAAGCGCGAGUCAUAAGCUCGCGUUGAUUACGCCCCCUGCCAAUCAUAAA
RNAcentral lists this ribosomal RNA (841 nucleotides) under Pochazia shantungensis. Its description in RNAcentral is "SSU rRNA". It matches the Rfam family "Eukaryotic small subunit ribosomal RNA", at positions 817 to 1666 of the family's 1831-position model. The record is from RNAcentral. Lineage: Eukaryota; Metazoa; Arthropoda; Insecta; Hemiptera; Ricaniidae.